GAUGAACGCUGGCGGCGUGCCUAAUACAUGCAAGUCGAGCGAACGGACGAGAAGCUUGCUUCUCUGAUGUUAGCGGCGGACGGGUGAGUAACACGUGGAUAACCUACCUAUAAGACUGGGAUAACUUCGGGAAACCGGAGCUAAUACCGGAUAAUAUUUUGAACCGCAUGGUUCAAAAGUGAAAGACGGUCUUGCUGUCACUUAUAGAUGGAUCCGCGCUGCAUUAGCUAGUUGGUAAGGUAACGGCUUACCAAGGCAACGAUGCAUAGCCGACCUGAGAGGGUGAUCGGCCACACUGGAACUGAGACACGGUCCAGACUCCUACGGGAGGCAGCAGUAGGGAAUCUUCCGCAAUGGGCGAAAGCCUGACGGAGCAACGCCGCGUGAGUGAUGAAGGUCUUCGGAUCGUAAAACUCUGUUAUUAGGGAAGAACAUAUGUGUAAGUAACUGUGCACAUCUUGACGGUACCUAAUCAGAAAGCCACGGCUAACUACGUGCCAGCAGCCGCGGUAAUACGUAGGUGGCAAGCGUUAUCCGGAAUUAUUGGGCGUAGAGCGCGCGUAGGCGGUUUUUUAAGUCUGAUGUGAAAGCCCACGGCUCAACCGUGGAGGGUCAUUGGAAACCGGAAAACUUGAGUGCAGAAGAGGAAAGUGGAAUUCCAUGUGUAGCGGUGAAAUGCGCAGAGAUAUGGAGGAACACCAGUGGCGAAGGCGACUUUCUGGUCUGUAACUGACGCUGAUGUGCGAAAGCGUGGGGAUCAAACAGGAUUAGAUACCCUGGUAGUCCACGCCGUAAACGAUGAGUGCUAAGUGUUAGGGGGUUUCCGCCCCUUAGUGCUGCAGCUAACGCACUAAGCACUCCGCCUGGGGAGUACGACCGCAAGGUUGAAACUCAAAGGAAUUGACGGGGACCCGCACAAGCGGUGGAGCAUGUGGUUUAAUUCGAAGCAACGCGAAGAACCUUACCAAAUCUUGACAUCCUUUGACAACUCUAGAGAUAGAGCCUUCCCCUUCGGGGGACAAAGUGACAGGUGGUGCAUGGUUGUCGUCAGCUCGUGUCGUGAGAUGUUGGGUUAAGUCCCGCAACGAGCGCAACCCUUAAGCUUAGUUGCCAUCAUUAAGUUGGGCACUCUAAGUUGACUGCCGGUGACAAACCGGAGGAAGGUGGGGAUGACGUCAAAUCAUCAUGCCCCUUAUGAUUUGGGCUACACACGUGCUACAAUGGACAAUACAAAGGGCAGCGAAACCGCGAGGUCAAGCAAAUCCCAUAAAGUUGUUCUCAGUUCGGAUUGUAGUCUGCAACUCGACUACAUGAAGCUGGAAUCGCUAGUAAUCGUAGAUCAGCAUGCUACGGUGAAUACGUUCCCGGGUCU
RNAcentral lists this ribosomal RNA (1372 nucleotides) under uncultured bacterium. RNAcentral's name for it is "bacterial SSU rRNA". It matches the Rfam family "Bacterial small subunit ribosomal RNA", at positions 28 to 1381 of the family's 1533-position model. The record is from RNAcentral.